GAAUUUGUUAUCCCCUUGACUAGUAUCCGGUAAUGGAUAAUAUAUUUCUAUCACUCCUGUGUUGAAGAUUGUUUCUUCCCCAGUUGAGCUUGUGUGCGUAUUUCUUCAAUGAAAUCGCCUUUCCCUACUUGGUUCGAGUAUUUCAGCUUUGUUCUGAUCUACCCGUUCCCCCAGAAGUUUUAAAAGUCGUAGCCUGGCCUACGCAUAACCCCUUUUAUCCCCUAGAGUCUUUGUACCCCCAAUUAGUUUUCCCUACGGAAUGCGUUAUACUCCUGCGAACUUCCAG
This 286-nucleotide long non-coding RNA is filed under the name Lathyrus oleraceus (garden pea). RNAcentral describes it as "Pisum sativum (pea) long non-coding RNA (PSAT_LNC012223)". Lineage: Eukaryota; Viridiplantae; Streptophyta; Magnoliopsida; Fabales; Fabaceae. The record is from RNAcentral.